Molecule: microRNA, 22 nt
Filed under: Callithrix jacchus (white-tufted-ear marmoset)
Lineage: Eukaryota; Metazoa; Chordata; Mammalia; Primates; Cebidae
Also listed under: 10 other names
Description: Cja-Mir-769_5p (mature (co-guide))
Source: RNAcentral
UGAGACCUCUGGGUUCUGAGCU